RNAcentral lists this long non-coding RNA (1064 nucleotides) under Sparus aurata (gilthead seabream). RNAcentral describes it as "lncRNA (ENSSAUG00010002058.1)". Lineage: Eukaryota; Metazoa; Chordata; Actinopteri; Spariformes; Sparidae. The record is from RNAcentral.
UUGAUUAUCACGAGGCAAGAAGAAAGCUGCCACUUGCAGAGCAGCAAACUGAUCUUCAGUCAGAUGCUAAGGCUGACUCUGGAAGGCCACCAAAAAGAAAGAUCAAGUAAGAAUUUUGUGACUCUAAAUGAGAAUCUAAAUCUGAGUGUUUUAGUGUUACUGCAACUUCUCAGCACUGCACUUUUCUACCAUUUAUUGCAUAUAUCCUUGCAUCUCGAGAUCAUUUAUACAUGUUAAAUUGUUGGUUGUUGAUGUCUUGUUUUAUGGGAAGCCUAGUUACAGUAAUAGGAAAUGCUGGAUAUACACAGUCAAUUAUUACUUUGCCAAAUCAAUGGGCAUGCCACAUACUUUGAUGUUCAAACAUGUAAUGUAAGCUGUGUCCUUGUUUAAACUUACUUCUUUGUCCUCUGUUGUAUUUAUUGCAUGUUUGUCUCCAAAGGCCAAGUAGGUACAUGGAUAGCUAUGAAAGUGAGGAGGAUGCCUUCAUCCCAAAAAAGAGGGCACUUCCAAAAGCCCCCAAAUCAUUUCAAAGAUACAUGAUACGCCCAUCCAAUGGUGCAACGGAGUGCAUUGCACUCACCCAGGGCUCAUCAGAUGGAAGAUCUACCACGAUUUCAGAAUAUCAGGGUAACAACCCCCUUGAGACAUCACUUCGCCAGGCCAUUGAGGUGGCAAAUUAUAUGGAGCCUCAGCCAGCAAACACCCCAGGUCAUCAAGGCCAGGCUGUGAGGGUGUGCCCUGAAACCCAGGCAGCUCCAAUCUGGGGGCAGAAUGACCUCUCAUCGAGGCAACGCCUCAAAAAUUCAGCUGUCUGCAGUCAGAUGUGUGGAUCUUUGCUUCAUGACUUGCUCGUGAAGCAAGAAAUCAUAAUUGAGCAGCAGCAGAACAUCAUAAGAAUGGUGCAAGACCUUCAUACAGCAAUGCACAGGACGACAAAUGGGUCAACUAACAUGGAAAGGCACAAUUCUUACUUCCCCCUCUGCAAUAUCGAGCAGCUGAUGGCCCUGGAAAGAGACCUGCAGUCUCUACCUGGACUGAAAAAGGAACUGGUAAACUGCCUUUGA